Long non-coding RNA from Podarcis raffonei (Aeolian wall lizard), 4467 nucleotides. RefSeq lists it as uncharacterized. The transcript is spliced from 2 exons. Lineage: Eukaryota; Metazoa; Chordata; Lepidosauria; Squamata; Lacertidae. The record is from RefSeq and is a predicted model, not a curated record.
GAUGACAGCUUUGAAGGAGAAUGUGUCUGCUGCUCUUACAGAUUGCUUUUGAGUUCAAAUGUUACCUGAUUCUGUUCUCCUUUAUGAUAAAGGGUGAGUUAUCAUGACUCUCAGUUGCAUUAGAUAAGGAAAUGAAGAGCCAGUGUCUUAUUUAUUGGGCCUCCUUGUUGGGAGAAAGCCAUCACAACUCCUUCAGAUUAAAAAUAUCGUACCACUGUACAAAGCUGGUAUUAAUGUAGAAUUAGUAGCCUUGACUUAACUUAAAAAAAUAAAAUAAAAAGUUGCUGAGGUGGACUGAAAUAUAAAACUUUAUCUAGAAACACCACUUAGAUUAUUUAAGGGGUGGAAACCUCACAAGAAGAGGCCAACUCCAGCCCUCCCGGCCUCUGCGUGGCUCUUCAGAUACUUCCUAUGGCACAUCCCUUACUUUAUACCAGUGGCGGACCUUGGGAUCUCAAAUUUCAGCAGUGCCCCGUGCAACGACAAAAUUUGGUGCCUCUUGUGCUCCAUUCUAAAUAAUAGUUGCAGCGUCCCCUGCAAGGCCCCCAAGUCUCUGCGCCCAGUGUGACUGAACCAGUCACACAUCCCUAAAUCUGCCUCAAUUCAUACCCUCCUUAUGUGCUUUUGCCUGGCUAGAAUGUGAUCACUCUUCCUGGUUGCCUUAAUGGAAGAUAGAGAGGCGUGUCCUGUACAAAGGUAAAAUGUACAUUUGCCUCUUCGCUCAGCUUUGCCCCUGGCCUUGCCCCUGGAAGGUUGCCCAGAUGAGAAUGUGGCCCCUUGACCGAAGAAGGUUCCCUGCUCUUGGUUUAUUUGUUCAGUCAUUUAAAACCAGUUUGCAUAUUACUGUGUUCAAGCAGUAAGUAUAAUAGAUGUAACAACCACUAUCUGCAUCUAGGCGAUGUUAAUUACUGUCGGACAUUGCACACACUCACCUUCAUUUUGCACUUGUUUCUUUCUUCACCUUUUCCAUUCUGACCUCUUUGCUGCUGGUUACACUAACAGCACAUUGCCUCUGGAGGUGCCAGCCAUAACAGUUAGAGUCUCUGUGUAAGGUAACGCCUUUUCUAACUUACGUCUGUUGCACUUUCUAGCAGUAGUGCGUACUGUGAAGUGAAGUGAGUCAGUGUAGAGGCCAUUUGUCUUUUGAUUUUUGUUAGCCUGUCCCUGUCAUUCCCUCUCCCCGCCUACAAUUCUGGAUCACUUUGCAUAGGAUGAUUUUGUAUAUGGAUAUCACUUCCAUGUGGUGGAAACAUACAUAUACUAUGAACUGCAGGAUAUAAGACUGUACCACUUAAAAGGUUUUUGUCAAGCGGUAUAUAAACCUUGUCAAGUAAAUGAAUAAAAUGCCUUGAUGUCAAGUUAAGGCUUAAUACCUUGCAUGUAUAGCCCACAAAUAGUUUAUUAGCUUGUUUGCUUGCUUAUCCCUACGAAAAUCAUUUGUGAGACUUGGCUUGCCUGUCAUAUUAAAACAUAGGUGACGUAAACUAUGGUUUAAGCUGAAUGAGUAGCAUGCUGCUUAAAUACUGUUGCUUCAAUCUUUUCCCUUGCUCAUACUGCACUGUGAAGGAAAUGGUGGUUGUCUGUGAACCUGGGCUUGUGGUUUACUUCUUGAGGGAAACCAAGAUUUGUUCUUGGCUUAGCACUCAUGGUUUGUUUGAGGGAAACAAACCACAAUUGUACGUUGUUCACAAACCAGGCUCUUACUUGUUUCUUUCCUAACUUAGUCCUCUCAAGGCUUUGGUGCUUAUAUCCUGGUCCAUUUGACAUACAAACUGGGAUUGAUUGUUCAAAAGAGGGAAUGAAAGACCCCCUUUCCCCUGUUUUACUUUCAAGCAUUUCUUGCUUGUCAGAGGUGACCAGGUGAGUUUACAGGGAGAUAUGCCCUUAGGAAAUGGUGGCCUUUAUAUGCUCAAAAUAUAUGUUAGGUUUGCAUUGGUCACCUUUUCAAUAAGACGUGGAUCAAAAGUACUCUAAUUCUGUGUACCUUAGGGAGAUUGAUGCUUUUGGUUCUCCAACCUUCAAUUACUGCAUCACAGAUCUCUGUUGAAAUUGAGAGGUGCUUUAAAAGCAAUUUGUGAUACAACAUUUGGAGGAAGUGGCCUGUGUGUGUGGUAUUUCAACAGUUCAAAGAUGAAAGGUGUAAAAUUUCAUUAGCCAUCUCCAGGCCCUUAAAUGCCUCAAGUAGUUCUUUGGAGCCAAGCCAUGUCUGCCCUUCUCCUGUUACUUUAGUCCUUUCCCUGGUGCAACCUUUUCCAUUUAUAGGAAAUGCUGUGUUGAGUUGAGAAGAUAAAAAAUAUAAGAAAGUUUCUGGCAGUGUUUAUGAAAAAAAUGCAGAGGAAUUUAAAUAACUUUUAAAAUGCAAUUGUGAAUUGUUCGUUUUGGACUUAGAAUUAGAGGUAAAAACAGAUGGUAAAGCUUGUUUUUGAGCAUUCUCUAUUAAAUUAACCUGUGCUUAGCAGUGAUUGUUCAGUUUAAUAGGAUUUUGCCUCUCUGGAAUUCAUUGGAAGGAAACACAAUUUCUGGAAACAUUCAUUUUAUCAGGAGGUUCACUAGAGUUGGGUUUACUGCAAAAACCUUCUAUCCGUGGUAUAGAAAAAGCAGUAACAAAGAGCUAUAUUUCACCUUUUGAGGCCAUACAGAAAGCAGGCUCUGACUUGUAAAGGAAAUUAUUCUGAGCAGAUGGCUGUAAAUGCACCUAGGAACAUUUACCUUUAUUGUUCUUGGUUUGGACGGCUACAGCAUAGCUGGAAGUGUCUAUUUUGAUUCUGCUUAGAAGCUAUUUCAUACUGAAGUAGAAGAACUUAAAUGCAUCUCUUCUCCAGGGAGAAAAUAGUAUAUUCAAGCAAAGAAAGAAGUACAUAUGUAUUAGCUAUACUUCAUUCAUUUUAGUUUGAUUGUCCUUUUCAAAUUGAAAAAAGACUAGCUCAGUAUUUACGCAGCAAUAUGCUUUUCUACAACUGCAUUUAUUUUGUGCAUCAUGCACAAACAGAAUCCUGUUAGUUCUCACCAUGGCAAAAUGUAAAAUAGCAAACCAAUUUUGAAAAACCAUUCACGUUUAUUUUAGCACAUCUUUCAGGAUUUUUCUGAAAAUAGUUAAGAACAUGGCAGCUCUGGUGAAUCAAACCAAAGGUUCAUCUAGUCUAGCAUUCUGUUUUCAGCAAUGGCCUGCUGAAUAUUUCUGGGAUGCCUAUAGAAAGGGCAUGAAGGCAAGAGCUGUCUCCUGUUUGUUUUCCCCAAACUGUUUUGCAGUUCACAGGCUCUGAACAUAAAAGUUCCAUUUUUCUCUUAAGGCUAAUAGCCACUGAUCUGUUCUCUAUGAAUUUAACUGCUUCUUUUCUAAAACCCAUCUUAGCCUUUGGCACUCAUUCAUUUGGCAGGAAUGUGGGAUAGGGUUUCCGCAUGAGAUGCCUUCUUGCCCUGGGAGAUUUUUGUGGCCUCUCUAAGGCUUCUCUGCACAAAGCUGAAAACUUUGUUGUCCUGGCAAACCUCUGGCCUGUAGGUGUUUGGCAUAGAACUGUUCCUUUGCUUGUUUUAGCUUAGCUCGAGUCUCUACUGCCAUUUGUUUCUUUAAUUUUGCUUACUGUUACGUGCUGUGUGUUUAAUAUUUUCACAAAAAAUAUUGAUUGUGUGGUGUAAGCCAUAUUAAGUGCCUCAAUUCAGGAUACAUAUGUUUUAAAUAACGUCCUUGUAGUAGUGAAUUUCGCAAGUUUUGAAUUUUCUGUUCUGAAUUUACUACCCCUGAAUUUCAUUGAGUGUCCCCAAGUUCUAUCAUUAUAUGCAAGGAAGAAAAUUUAUAUUAUAAUCUGCACCCUGUUCAUAAUUUUGGAAACCUCUCUUGUGUCUUUCCCUUAGUCCUUUGUCUACACCUGAAAAGCUCCAGAUGCUUUUUAUCUUUUCCUUGUAGAGAAUAGAGAAAAUAUUCUACUGUUCCCUUGAUCAUUUUCGUUGCCCUCUUCAAAUUUUUAAAGCUGUCAAAACUGAUGCAAUUUACAGUUUUGGAAAGGUUUCUAAUAAUGAGUCAACAUUGUAUGUAAAGGAUUGUAUUUGUGCUUGUCUAAAAAUCCAAUGAACACAUGAAGUGUUUUCCAUUGUUACUGUUUAUCGUCAUCAAAGAUAAAUGGCAUCUGUUUUGAGGUCUUAAAAUCUCCCCGAAAGACAGUUACGAUUUAUACGUAAGGAAUAGUUAUACUGCUAGUUUAACUCACAGGGAAACUCUCAAUAAACCAAGUAUCAGUAGUUGCAAGAACAGUGUUUCAAGAAAAAAAAAAGGCAGACCUAUGUUAGUUCUUUAACUUUGUGGAAAUAAUAGGUUUCACUUUCUUACUCUACACAUUUCUGUAGAGUAUCUUGAAGAAUAUCAUUGAAUACUUUAGCUAAACUUGUAUGUUAAUACAUAGAAACAAUAAUUUUCUCAACAUGCUUAAAUCCAAAAGGGGAAAAUAAAAGCAUUCCCCCCCACAAAAAAAA